Molecule: non-coding RNA, 574 nt
Organism: Coturnix japonica (Japanese quail)
Lineage: Eukaryota; Metazoa; Chordata; Aves; Galliformes; Phasianidae
Source: RefSeq, a predicted model, not a curated record
CUUGUUUAGUUUAGAGAAGAGAAGGCUGUGGGGAGACCUCAUUGUGGCUUUCCAGUACUUGAGUAGAGUUUACAAACAGGAGAGGAAAACUUCAAACCAAAGGAAAAGCAGAAAAAGAAAAUUUGUUCAAGAUUUUCUAAGCUCCAUUGGGAACGUGAUUUCAGAUGCACUGUCAGCUUUCCAACUCACACCUGAGUUCAUGUGGAAACCAAAGGCAAAUGUUCCUGUGCCCGUACCCACAGAAAAAGAAGAGGGAAGGGAAUAGAGAGAAGAAAUCUAAACAUACUUUGUCAAUUGUGAGUUCAAGUCCCUGAAUUUUACUGUAUUCAUAAUGGCUGAAGAGGACAAGUUAUAUAAGAAAUUCAGAGAGCAGAGAACUUGGGAAAACAGAAUGGAGAAAAUGGAAACUGUGGUUGACCUGGCACCAGUUUUGACAGAGAAACCAGUGGGAGAUGAUCACAAGUCAGCGGUUACUAUGCAGAAAAUUUCAAGGAGAUAAUGCUAAGGCAGUUAAACUACAGACAGUACUUUCUUAGAAAAAUGUUGUGCUAUGCAGUAAAAAAAAAAAAAAAAA